This 1112-nucleotide long non-coding RNA is filed under the name Marmota monax (woodchuck). The record is from RNAcentral. Lineage: Eukaryota; Metazoa; Chordata; Mammalia; Rodentia; Sciuridae.
GACCUGCAUUUGACAGUUAAAAAUUAUUCCCUCCAGCUCAUGAGUGCAAGGAGGGCCUAGACAUGCCAUUGGCCUGAGCCAUUCCUGUAGGCUUACCUUGCUCUUUAGUUAUGUGAACGACUGUACAUAAACUCUCAGUUCCCUAAGAAGGGUUCAGAACUUGAAUAAAAGCUGUACAUCUUUGAAUGAUAUAUAAACUUGUAAAAAAAAAAAAGUCAUGCACAUACUGAUUUAUGAUAUCUUACACAGCUGGGCAUGGUGGCACAUGCCUGUAGUCCCAGUGGCUGAGCCUGGGCUUCUCUGAUAUUCUAUGGAUGUGAACACUGUGGUAGGAUUUCUAUUGCAUUACAACAAAUUUAGUGCUUAAACAACACCAUGAUGAUAAGCCGGGAAAGGGUCUCAUCAUGCCAAAAUCAAGGUCUCAUUAGAACUGUGUCCUUUUCUGGAGGCUCUAGAUGAAAAUCUGUGCUUAUUUGAGUUGUCACAAAAUUCAGACACUUGAGACCUCAGGGUGGAGGUCCCCAGGUUCUUGAUGGAUGUCAACUGAUGUCCAUUGUCAGCCUCUAGAGGGCACUGUUCUCCUCAGCCAUGGCUCCUGUGCUCCAUGUUCCAAGUCAGCAAUGAUGUUCAGGGUCUUUACCUGUCACAUCUCUCUCAUCCUUUCUUCUGCCUUCCCUUCGAACUGUCCAGGAUUCGUGUGAUUGGAUUAAAUCCCUGAAUGAUUUAGGAUAAUCUUCCCAUGUUCAGGUCCUUAAUCACGUUUGCCAAGUCCCCUUUUCCAUAGAAAUGGGCAUCUUUACAGGUUCUGGGGGUUAUGCAGUUGUGGAGCCAUCUGCAAAAAUGCUCAGAAAUAUUAUUCAAAGGAGAAACUCCUCACUAAGUAGAACUUUCUGAUCCCAAGACAAAGUGGAGGAAACAGUCUUUGUAGAAGACCAGUGUAGUUCAGUUCUUAAACCUGACAUUUUACUUGUACAACUCUAAGUCAGUGAACCCAGUUUUUCUCCUUAUAAGAUCAGUAGACAGGAAAAUUCUCAAGAGGAUCAAAUUAUUACAUGGUCAAAAGUUUUUGAAGGUCCAUUUGUGUUCAUCAUCACAGUUGUCAUCUGGCCGCG